GCCUACGGGGCAGCAGUAGGGAAUCUUCCACAAUGGGCGAAAGCCUGAUGGAGCAACGCCGCGUGGGUGAAGAAGGUCUUCGGAUCGUAAAACCCUGUUGUUAGAGAAGAAAGUGCGUGAGAGUAACUGUUCACGUCUCGACGGUAUCUAACCAGAAAGCCACGGCUAACUACGUGCCAGCAGCCGCGGUAAUACGUAGGUGGCAAGCGUUAUCCGGAUUUAUUGGGCGUAAAGGGAGCGCAGGCGGUCUUUUAAGUCUGAUGUGAAAGCCUUCGGCUUAACCGGAGUAGUGCAUUGGAAACUGG
Molecule: ribosomal RNA, 305 nt
Filed under: uncultured bacterium
Lineage: Bacteria
Description: bacterial SSU rRNA
Rfam family: Bacterial small subunit ribosomal RNA
Source: RNAcentral